This 72-nucleotide transfer RNA is filed under the name Urocitellus parryii (Arctic ground squirrel). RNAcentral's name for it is "Spermophilus parryii (Arctic ground squirrel) tRNA". It matches the Rfam family "tRNA". Rfam says of the family: Transfer RNA (tRNA) molecules are approximately 80 nucleotides in length. The record is from Rfam by way of RNAcentral. Lineage: Eukaryota; Metazoa; Chordata; Mammalia; Rodentia; Sciuridae. RNAcentral also lists the same sequence under 2 other names.
GGGGAUGUGGCUCAGUGGUACAGUACUUGCCUAGCAUGCAUAAGGCCCUGGGUUCUAUUCUCAGUACCAUUA